AAAGGGAAAAUGGUUGAAUCUGGUGGAAUACAGUUACAAUGUCAAAUAUCACCAAAUGAAAUGCUGACAUUACAGAAUGCAUGGUUUUAUACUGUAAAGGCAGUGAGAUAAAAACAUGUGGUUUUAAUGGAAGUCAAUGAGGCAUUUUUGCCACGAAGGUGUCCAGAGGGAGUAUCUGGCACUACGUAAAAAAUACUAAUGCAAUCAAAUUAAUUUUGUUGCUAAUCUUUGACAUAUCCAAGACUCUAAUCCCCACCAAAGCCCCAUCUCCAUAUUAUUCAUUAUAUGGAAAAAAAAAACAUUUUUUGUGGGUUUUUAAAAAAAAAAAAAUAAUGAAAUACUUCAAAUAAAUAAACUGGUAUUUAAAGGGUUAAAAUCCUGAAAAUGAUUGAAUGUUUGGUAGUUUUGAACAAGUUAGAAGUUGUUUAAGUGAUUUAUGAAAAAAAAACUGGAAAAAAAAUAUUGAUAUAUGAUGAUUUAAUAGCAGUUUUUGUGUGCGUGUACAUUUUUGCCACGAAGGUGUCCAGAGGGUACAAAAUGAAUCAAUCAAGUAUAAAAAAACAUGUAAGAGUAAAAAACACUGGAUUUAAAAAUUCUGACCAAAAAGAAAGGUUCUGACAAAAUGUCAUGCCAUAAGCAGUAACACAGCAAAAAAUAUCACAAAAUG
This is a long non-coding RNA of Sander lucioperca (pikeperch), 667 nucleotides long. RefSeq lists it as uncharacterized. Lineage: Eukaryota; Metazoa; Chordata; Actinopteri; Perciformes; Percidae. The transcript has 2 exons. The record is from RefSeq and is a predicted model, not a curated record.